AACUAAUAAGCUUUAAGAAGCAUAUGUUUUGAAAGCAUAAGAUAAAGAUAGAAUCUUUAUUAGUUU
Molecule: transfer RNA, 66 nt
Filed under: Paracercion v-nigrum
Lineage: Eukaryota; Metazoa; Arthropoda; Insecta; Odonata; Coenagrionidae
Description: tRNA-Ser
Rfam family: tRNA
About the family: Transfer RNA (tRNA) molecules are approximately 80 nucleotides in length. Their secondary structure includes four short double-helical elements and three loops (D, anti-codon, and T loops).
Source: RNAcentral